UAGUCCACGCCGUAAACGAUGAGUACUAGCUAUUGGGGGUAUUGACUCCCUCAGUGGCGCAGCUAACGCAUUAAGUACUCCGCCUGGGAAGUACGGUCGCAAGACUAAAACUCAAAGGAAUUGACGGGGGCCCGCACAAGCGGUGGAUUAUGUGGUUUAAUUCGAAGCAACGCGCAGAACCUUACCUAGGCUUGAAAUCCCUCGAAUCCCGAGUAAUUUUGGGAGUGCCCGCAAGGGAAUGAGGUGACAGGUGCUGCAUGGCUGUCGUCAGCUCGUGUUGUGAAAUGUUGGGUUAAGUCUCGCAACGAGCGCAACCCCUAUCUUUAGUUGCCAGCAUUAAGUUGGGCACUCUAGAGAGACUGCCCGGGUUAACCGGGAGGAAGGUGGGGAUGACGUCAAGUCCUCAUGGCCCUUAUGCCUAGGGCUACACACGUAAUACAAUGGUGCAUACAGAGGGAAGCGAUCGGGUGACCGUUAGCAAAUCUCAAAAAGUGCAUCUCAGUCCGGA
RNAcentral lists this ribosomal RNA (508 nucleotides) under uncultured bacterium. RNAcentral's name for it is "bacterial SSU rRNA". It matches the Rfam family "Bacterial small subunit ribosomal RNA", at positions 791 to 1297 of the family's 1533-position model. The record is from RNAcentral.